RNAcentral lists this unclassified non-coding RNA (310 nucleotides) under Hevea brasiliensis (rubber tree). Lineage: Eukaryota; Viridiplantae; Streptophyta; Magnoliopsida; Malpighiales; Euphorbiaceae. The record is from RNAcentral.
GUUCAGAGUGGAAUGCUUAACUCUAGUGGUAUCCAUAUUAAAUGCUAUGCAUAGGGAUUGUUUUAUAUUCAUAUUAUCCAGUUAUAUUUGUUUCUGAAAUUCUAUAUUAUGUAUUUAUAUGUGUUUCUGAAAUUCUAUCUUAAUUGUAGUUUGGUUUCUUUUGAACUGCCUUAUAUGUGAACUUGGGUGCAUGUCUGACUCUGUGUUUGAUCCUUCACUGUUUGUAUUUUGAAAUUUCCUCCACUGCUCACAUGGGAUUGGUUUUUUGGUUUCUUACAUUAAUCAAAGGUUGGAAUGCUUGAUCCACCAA